Molecule: ribosomal RNA, 253 nt
Filed under: uncultured bacterium
Lineage: Bacteria
Description: partial 16S ribosomal RNA
Rfam family: Bacterial small subunit ribosomal RNA
Source: RNAcentral
GACGAACCGUACGAACGUUAUUCGGAAUUACUGGGCUUAAAGGGUGCGUAGGCUGCGCAGCAAGUUGGGUGUGAAAUCCCUCGGCUUAACCGAGGAACUGCGCCCAAAACUGCUGUGCUCGAGGGAGACAGAGGUGAGCGGAACUUAGGGUGGAGCGGUGAAAUGCGUUGAUAUCCUAAGGAACACCGGUGGCGAAAGCGGCUCACUGGAUCUCUUCUGACGCUGAGGCACGAAAGCUAGGGGAGCGAACGGG